UCAUAUAUAUAUGCCCCUUUGGACACUCUUCUUUGCUUUUUUUCUAGAGGAUUGCGUCAUAAUUCAUUGCCUGUGCUAUCAAUUGGAGAAGAUUCAAGAAUUCUUAUCCCAUGAAUUUCUUCCUCACUUGUAAAUUUAGUCUACUCUGCACAAUCUUGACAUAUUCAACCUUGUGAAGUGAGAUAUAACAUAUAUCCCUAGCCCUUUUAAAUCUAGUCAUGUAUCUUUC
Molecule: long non-coding RNA, 229 nt
Filed under: Elaeis guineensis (African oil palm)
Lineage: Eukaryota; Viridiplantae; Streptophyta; Magnoliopsida; Arecales; Arecaceae
Description: long non-coding RNA (EGUI_LNC031749)
Source: RNAcentral